UAUGGCCAUAUCAUGUUGAAACACCAGUUCCUGUAUGAUCACCAAAAUUAAGCAAAAUCAAGCCUGGUCAGUACCUCGAUGGGUGACCACUUGGGAAUACCAGGUGCUGUAUG
Acanthosepion pharaonis is the source of this 113-nucleotide non-coding RNA. Lineage: Eukaryota; Metazoa; Mollusca; Cephalopoda; Sepiida; Sepiidae. The record is from the annotation of a GenBank genome assembly.